UUGACCUUGGGCAAGGCUCAUGGUGACUCCAUUUCCCCAUAAUUAAAAUGGAAGGACCAUCGGGGGAAGAGGACAGAUUGCUGUUCUCACAUGCCAGCACCAACCACUGUGAUCCAGUCCCGAGGGCCACCGCUGGAUUUAAGCAGGGCUGUCUUCAGAGGUGUGGGAUGUCACCAUCCUGGGCCACACCUGAUUUGAGCACAAGCUCUAGGUCCCAGCAACUGGAGCUUGUUGUUUACACCAUUUCCCAGGGAGCAGGGUCACAGUAGGCCCUGGCUCAAGGGUCUAAUUUUAAACACUGGGUUUAAAAAAAGGCCAGAUCCUGGCUACCUCCAAGAUGCAUGCACUUUAGAAAGAUGACCCUGAGUGCAGAGGCCAGGAAAGGGGAAAUGAUCUCUCUCUACUCCUCCCUCUCCCCCUCCCUCCACAAACUCGAGCAAGUGCCUAUCUGCCAGGAGUGCCCAGCGGGGAGGAAGCAGUGCCCUGGGGCAGUUCCCAUUUCACCCUAAGUCAGGCGUCUCAAAGCUGCCUGACCUCAAGAAUCCCAUCUGGGGGCAUCAGUUCAAAAUAGAUCGCUAGCCCCCAGCCACGUGAUUCUUAGGGAUCUAUUUGGAUUUCUUAUUUCACAUGUGGUUUUCAUUUGUUUGGAGUUUUUUGUUUGUAUAUUUGCUUUCUAAUUUGUUUAGAUCAGAAUCCCAAAUGAGAUCUACACCUGGCAGUCCGUUGAUAUGGCUCCAAAUCUCCUGUACUCAGUUGAUUUCCCCUCCAUUUAUUCAUUCAUUUACUUACUUAGUUACUGUUUCUGUUUCCCUCUCUCUCUCCCUCUCUUCUUGCAAUUUAUCUCUAGAAGAAACCACCUGUAUAUCUAUAGAGUCUCUCACAUCUGAAGUUGGCUGACUGCAUUCCCCAAGGUGCCACUUAACAUGUUCCUCUGUCCCCUGUAGUUCCUAUAAAUUGUUCAAAUCCAGGGACCUGAUCAGAUUCCGGUUUGAGUUUAGGGCAAGACUAUUUGCUGGGUGCCGCAUGUUCUUCCAUCAGGAGGCUCAUACUCUCUUUUUGUGAUGCGAGCAGCUGUAGCUGCCCAAUUCAACCAUUAGGGGUUACCCAGUGGAGCUCAAAUCCUUUUUGGUACAACAAAUGUGUGCUGACAGUAGGAGUAGGCACAUCCUCUGAGCCUCUGUUGCCCCACCUGUAAAAUGCGGAUGCUGGUGAACUCACAGACUUAUUCUGGCAACGUAAUUGGAGGACUCAGGUCCCAGAACAGCAGAAUUCAGAUCCUGGCACCCUUACUCAGCUCCCUGUUCUGCAAUGGGCAAGUUGCUUCACCUCUCUGUGCCUCAGUUUCCUCAUGUGUAAAAUGGAGAUGAUAACAGUACCUACCGUA
Long non-coding RNA from Physeter macrocephalus (sperm whale), 1384 nucleotides. RefSeq lists it as uncharacterized. The record is from RefSeq and is a predicted model, not a curated record. Lineage: Eukaryota; Metazoa; Chordata; Mammalia; Artiodactyla; Physeteridae. The transcript is spliced from 3 exons.